Molecule: ribosomal RNA, 558 nt
Filed under: uncultured soil bacterium
Lineage: Bacteria
Description: bacterial SSU rRNA
Rfam family: Bacterial small subunit ribosomal RNA
Source: RNAcentral
GCUGGCGGCGCGCAUAACACAUGCAAGUCGAGCGAGGGCUUAUUUCCCGCAAGGGAGAUGAGUUCCUAGCGGCGAACGGGUGAGUAACACGUGGGCAACCUUUCCUAUCGCGGGGGAUAACACCGGGAAACCGAUGCUAAUACCGCAUGUCGUCACCGGUCGCAUGGCCGGUGAAGAAAGCAGCAAUGCACGAUGGGGUGGGCCCGCGGCCUAUCAGCUAGUCGGUGGGGUAACGGCCUACCGAGGCGAUGACGGGUAGCUGGUCUGAGAGGACGGCCAGCCACACGGGGACUGAGACACGGCCCCGACUCCUACGGGAGGCAGCAGUGAGGAAUCUUCCGCAAUGGGCGAAAGCCUGACGGAGCGACGCCGCGUGUGGGAUGAAGUCUUUCGGGAUGUAAACCACUGUCGGAGGGGAAGACAUCGACGGUACCCUCCAAGAAAGCCCCGGCUAACUACGUGCCAGCAGCCGCGGUAAUACGUAGGGGGCAAGCGUUAUCCAGAUUUACUGGGCGUAAAGCGCGUGUAGGCGGCUGGUUAAGUGUGAUGUGAAAUCUU